UAGGGAAUCUUCCGCAAUGGACGCAAGUCUGACGGAGCAACGCCGCGUGAGUGAAGAAGGAUUUCGGUUCGUAAAACUCUGUUGUUAGGGAAGAACAAAUGUGUAAGUAACUAUGCACAUCUUGACGGUACCUAAUCAGAAAGCCACGGCUAACUACGUGCCAGCAGCCGCGGUAAUACGUAGGUGGCAAGCGUUAUCCGGAAUUAUUGGGCGUAAAGCGCGCGUAGGCGGUUUUUUAAGUCUGAUGUGAAAGCCCACGGCUCAACCGUGGAGGGUCAUUGGAAACUGGAAAACUUGAGUGCAGAAGAGGAAAGUGGAAUUCCAUGUGUAGCGGUGAAAUGCGCAGAGAUAUGGAGGAACACCAGUGGCGAAGGCGACUUUCUGGUCUGUAACUGACGCUGAUGUGCGAAAGCGUGGGGAUCAAACAGG
RNAcentral lists this ribosomal RNA (429 nucleotides) under Bacteroidota bacterium. RNAcentral's name for it is "Bacteroidetes bacterium partial 16S ribosomal RNA". It matches the Rfam family "Bacterial small subunit ribosomal RNA", at positions 355 to 776 of the family's 1533-position model. The record is from RNAcentral. Lineage: Bacteria; Pseudomonadati; Bacteroidota.